Molecule: ribosomal RNA, 435 nt
Filed under: uncultured Anaerovorax sp.
Lineage: Bacteria; Bacillati; Bacillota; Clostridia; Peptostreptococcales; Anaerovoracaceae
Description: partial 16S ribosomal RNA
Rfam family: Bacterial small subunit ribosomal RNA
Source: RNAcentral
ACGGGAGGCAGCAGUGGGGAAUAUUGCACAAUGGGGGAAACCCUGAUGCAGCAACGCCGCGUGAGCGAUGAAGGCCUUUGGGUCGUAAAGCUCUGUCCUUGGGGAAGAAGAUCUGACGGUACCCUUGGAGGAAGCCCCGGCUAACUACGUGCCAGCAGCCGCGGUAAUACGUAGGGGGCAAGCGUUAUCCGGAAUUAUUGGGCGUAAAGGGUGCGUAGGCGGCGAUUUAAGCGCAGGGUUUAAGGCUACAGCUUAACUGUAGUUCGCCCUGCGAACUGGAUUGCUUGAGUGCAGGAGAGGAAAGCGGAAUUCCUAGUGUAGCGGUGAAAUGCGUAGAUAUUAGGAGGAACACCAGUGGCGAAGGCGGCUUUCUGGACUGUAACUGACGCUGAGGCACGAAAGCGUGGGGAGCAAACAGGAUUAGAUACCCUGGUA